RNAcentral lists this long non-coding RNA (465 nucleotides) under Ictidomys tridecemlineatus (thirteen-lined ground squirrel). Its description in RNAcentral is "lncRNA (ENSSTOG00000030934.1)". Lineage: Eukaryota; Metazoa; Chordata; Mammalia; Rodentia; Sciuridae. The record is from RNAcentral.
AGCAGCCUCAGGAGUGGCAGGGAAACAGAACUGGAGGAACUGUGUCUUCUGUCACCCAAAGGACAGUCAUGGGAAAUAAUCUGCAAAGCUGGAUGACACAAAGCCUGUGACACGUAGCAGUGGACUUGGACCAGACUUCUCAGCACACCCAUGAACCACUGAAUGCUUGGGAGCAGAGAAACAGACGUUUUUGACAAUGAACUGGAGGUGCAGUGAUUAGAACCGGGAAGGAACAGAGUCCGUGAGGUCAGAAACAUCAGCACUGCUGGAGACGGCCGGGUCUCCUGUCUACCCCCUACUGGCCCUCCAGGCUGCCCUUGGAGUUCAGCUGGUCCCCAGCUGUCCCUGCUUCCUGCCUCCCUGGCAGCCACAUCCCUGGUCCACCUCCGCCGGGCGGGCGAGGACCAGGACAGACAGUGGCUCCUCCUUUUGGAUCCUCAUCCCUGUGGCUUUCUGUUCUUCCGG